RNAcentral lists this ribosomal RNA (479 nucleotides) under Pseudeurotium bakeri. RNAcentral describes it as "eukaryotic LSU rRNA". The stretch from base 131 to 284 matches the Rfam family "5.8S ribosomal RNA". Lineage: Eukaryota; Fungi; Ascomycota; Leotiomycetes; Thelebolales; Pseudeurotiaceae. The record is from RNAcentral.
CCCUUUGUUUAUUAUACCUUUGUUGCUUUGGCGGGCCCGUCCUCGGACCACCGGCUUCGGCUGGUCAGUGCCCGCCAGAGGACCUAAAACUCUGUUUGUUCAUAUUGUCUGAGUACUAUAUAAUAGUUAAAACUUUCAACAACGGAUCUCUUGGUUCUGGCAUCGAUGAAGAACGCAGCGAAAUGCGAUAAGUAAUGUGAAUUGCAGAAUUCAGUGAAUCAUCGAAUCUUUGAACGCACAUUGCGCCCCCUGGUAUUCCGGGGGGCAUGCCUGUUCGAGCGUCAUUACAACCCUCAAGCUCUGCUUGGUAUUGGGCUCUGCCGGUCCCGGCAGGCCUUAAAAUCAGUGGCGGUGCCAUUCGGCUUCAAGCGUAGUAAUUCUUCUCGCUUUGGAGACCCGGGUGCGUGCUUGCCAGCAACCCCCAAUUUUUUCAGGUUGACCUCGGAUCAGGUAGGGAUACCCGCUGAACUUAAGCAUAU